GCCCGGGUGGUGUAGCCUGGUUAACACGCCGGCCUGUGGAGCCGGUGAACCCGAGUUCAAAUCUCGGCCCGGGCC
RNAcentral lists this transfer RNA (75 nucleotides) under Thermofilum sp. NZ13. RNAcentral's name for it is "tRNA-His". It matches the Rfam family "tRNA". From Rfam's summary of the family: Transfer RNA (tRNA) molecules are approximately 80 nucleotides in length. Their secondary structure includes four short double-helical elements and three loops (D, anti-codon, and T loops). Further hydrogen bonds mediate the characteristic L-shaped molecular structure. tRNAs have two regions of fundamental functional importance: the anti-codon, which is responsible for specific mRNA codon recognition, and the 3' end, to which the tRNAs corresponding amino acid is attached (by aminoacyl-tRNA synthetases). tRNAs cope with the degeneracy of the genetic code in two manners: having more than one tRNA (with a specific anti-codon) for a particular amino acid; and 'wobble' base-pairing, i.e. permitting non-standard base-pairing at the 3rd anti-codon position. The record is from RNAcentral. RNAcentral also lists the same sequence under 2 other names. Lineage: Archaea; Thermoproteati; Thermoproteota; Thermoprotei; Thermofilales; Thermofilaceae.